RNAcentral lists this long non-coding RNA (478 nucleotides) under Calidris pugnax (ruff). RNAcentral's name for it is "lncRNA (ENSCPUG00000000731.1)". The record is from RNAcentral. Lineage: Eukaryota; Metazoa; Chordata; Aves; Charadriiformes; Scolopacidae.
AAAAUCAAGCUGUCCUGGCCAACCUGUCACUUAGUGGGACGCACUGGACACUGGAAGCCUGUGGAAUGUUCUUAUUCCAGUGAAUCACAAGGGCAGCCAAGCCUGGCUCUGCUUCGCUUUGUGGGAAGUGAAUGAACUUAUGUCACACAGUUGCUCUCUUGUGUUCUCAUCACUCAAAUAACUCACUGCAGAGGUGAGGUUCAUGACGCCUUCGCCACUCGGCUUGGGUGUAUGAUCAAGUUAUACCAAGAAAGUGACCCACUUCAGCCUGUCCAGCGGAGCGGUCUCUGAAGAGCUGCAUGUUUUUCCCCUCUCUGGGUAUGUAUGUGUUUAACCAAACACGAGUUAAAUACGCAUAAUCCCCUGCCUUGAGGUGAGAGUGCAUUUCAUCCUUUUUCCUGCCUUAAAAUCUCUAGUGGUGUCAGCCAGGGCUGUGGCUGCAACACGUUUGCUUCCCAGUGAUCCUGGGUGCAUCGGU